Molecule: ribosomal RNA, 1736 nt
Filed under: Plasmodium reichenowi
Lineage: Eukaryota; Apicomplexa; Aconoidasida; Haemosporida; Plasmodiidae
Description: 18S ribosomal RNA
Rfam family: Eukaryotic small subunit ribosomal RNA (bases 4-553)
Source: RNAcentral
AACCUGGUUGAUCUUGCCAGUAGUCAUAUGCUUGUCUCAAAGAUUAAGCCAUGCAAGUGAAAGUAUAUAUAUAUUUUAUAUGUAGAAACUGCGAACGGCUCAUUAAAACAGUUAUAGUCUACUUGACAUUUUUAUUAUAAGGAUAACUACGGAAAAGCUGUAGCUAAUACUUGCUUUAUUAUCCUUUGAUUUUAUAUCUUAGGAUAAGUACUUGUUAGGCCUUAUAAGAAAAAAGUUAUUAACUUAAGGAAUUAUAACAAAGAAGUAACACGUNNNNNNNNNNNNNNNNNNNNNNNNNNNNNNNNNNNNNNNNNNNNNNNNNNUUUACUGCUAAUGUAAAAGAGAAAUUAUAUAUGUACCUACUUUUGGUACAUAAAUAAUCCUAUCACCUUUUUCGUGAGCUGUGAGCUGUGAGCUAGGCAAUAGUUCUUUAACAACAAAAAAGAAUUGCACAAACUGUAGACGACUUUUUUGCCUCAGGGUGCUGUAAACAUGAAAGUAAACUUUGUUUUACGAUCUGUUGAGGCUUAUCCCUAGUGGUAAAGUGUUUUUUGAAAAAUAUAAUAAUAUAUAAAAAUAUUUUACCUAUUUUUAUAUUUAUUAUAUAAUUAUAGAAAUAUAUUUUAUAAAAUAUUUAUUAUAUAAAGUAUUAUUAAUUUAUACUUUAUAUGGUUUAUAUUUUAUAAAUAUAAAAUAACAAUUUUUAAAAUAUCAAAUUUUUUGUUACAAAGAUGGAAUUUUUUCUAAGUAAUAUUUUUAUCAUUAUCUUCAGUUGUAUAUUUUAUAUAAUUCCAGAAAUUAUAAAUAUUAUUUAGUAUAACUUCCAUUAUUUAUUCAUUUUUUAAGUAUAUUAUUUUAUAUCAUAUUAUGUUUUUUAUUAAUUAUAAUAAAAAAUAUGUUAUAUGAAUAAAAGUAAUAAUCUUGAAAAGAACAAUUUUUAAUAAAUCAAUAUUUUAUAAUUUUUUUUUUUUUUUUUUUGAAAGUACAUUUUUUCAUAUUUAUUAUAAUAAUGUUUAUAUUAAUUAUUUUUUAAAAUUCCUUGUUUUUAACUUUACAUAAUAUACAUAUGUUUAUCCCGCUUCUAUUGUUUCGUGUAUGUUUUAUUAUUAAAUUUAAAAUUUUAAUUCUUUAUUCUUCAAUAUAUUAUUAUGUAUAUUGAAUUUAUUUUUAAAGUUCUGAAGGAAUUUUUAUUUUUUAUUGCUUAUUAAUUUUACUCUUAGGUUUUAUAUUAUUUUUUAUUUAUCAUUCGUUAUUAGUUAAAAUAUUAUUAUAUUAUUAUAUUAAAGAUCACUUUUAUUUUUAUUCAAAUUAAAUUUCUUUCCGCCCCCUAUCUAUUAUACUAAUGUUUCCUUCUAUUUUUUCUUAUUUUAAUUAUUGAUAAAAUAUGAAGCUUAAUUUUUACAUUUUUUUUCUUAUUUUUUUUCAACUUCAAAAUUAUAAGUAAAAUAAUAUAUAUUUUGUAUGAUAUAUAUAAUAAUAUUAUAUACUUAUUAAAUUCAUAAAAUUAAAUUUUAUUGCAUAAUUACUUUUCAAAUAUAAUAAUAUAGAAAUAAUAUUAAAUAUAUUUUAAGUUUUAUAUAAAAUCCAUUUAUUAACUAUAUAGAAAUAUAAUAUAUAUUCCCUUUCAAAAUAAGUUAUGUAAACAAUAUAUUAAUUAUAUAUAUGUAUAACAAUUAAUUAUAAUUCACAAAAAAUAUUCAAGAGAAAUUAUUAAAAUUAAAGUUUUGUAUUUUUUU